CCGCUGUGUCAAAGAUUUGACCAGAUACAACCGCUCCAGCUACCCUCCCCGAUAAGCUCCCUACGGCGCCUCCAAUAGAUCCCCCAAUGACACCUCCCAGUAUAGGAAACGGGAUAACCAUCUGACCAAUGCAUGCACCAGCAAUUUCAGAACCUGUUGCUGUGACAACUGAUGUGACAGAACCACCGAUUUUUUUUGUAACUUGUCUUGUAAAAGUUUUUGUACUUAAAUGUGUUUCUUGCUUUUUCCGAUACAUAUUCACUAUUUCCUUCCCGCAAGAUAUAAUUUCUAUUGGAGCUGCAACAGCAACAGUGAUGUUAGAUGAUGCAGCAGCCGCUAUAGCUGAUGAUCCAACUUUAACAACUGUUUUUGCGCCU
RNAcentral lists this long non-coding RNA (377 nucleotides) under Mytilus galloprovincialis (Mediterranean mussel). The record is from RNAcentral. Lineage: Eukaryota; Metazoa; Mollusca; Bivalvia; Mytilida; Mytilidae.